RNAcentral lists this ribosomal RNA (253 nucleotides) under uncultured bacterium. Its description in RNAcentral is "partial 16S ribosomal RNA". It matches the Rfam family "Bacterial small subunit ribosomal RNA", at positions 524 to 776 of the family's 1533-position model. The record is from RNAcentral.
UACGUAGGGGGCAAGCGUUGUCCGGAUUUAUUGGGCGUAAAGAGCGUGUAGGCGGCCAUACAGGUCAGCUGUGAAAACUCGAGGCUCAACCUCGAGACGUCGGUUGAAACCGUUUGGCUAGAGUCCGGAAGAGGAGGGUGGAAUUCCCGGUGUAGCGGUGAAAUGCGCAGAUAUCGGGAAGAACACCCGUGGCGAAGGCGGCUCUCUGGGACGGUACUGACGCUGAGACGCGAAAGCGUGGGGAGCGAACAGG